This 890-nucleotide ribosomal RNA is filed under the name uncultured Bacteroidota bacterium. RNAcentral's name for it is "bacterial SSU rRNA". It matches the Rfam family "Bacterial small subunit ribosomal RNA", at positions 28 to 916 of the family's 1533-position model. Lineage: Bacteria; Pseudomonadati; Bacteroidota. The record is from RNAcentral.
GAUGAACGCUAGCGGCAGGCCUAAUACAUGCAAGUCGAGGGGUAAGGUCCCGAUUUAUCGGGAUACACGACCGGCGCACGGGUGCGUAACGCGUAUGCAACCUACCUUUAACAGGAAGAUAGCCCCAAGAAAUCGGGAUUAAUAUUCCGUAACAAUAAUAUGUGACAUCACAAAUUAUUUAAAGCUCCGGCGGUUAAAGAUGGGCAUGCGUAAGAUUAGUUAGUUGGUGAGGUAACGGCUCACCAAGACAGCGAUCUUUAGGGGAUCUGAGAGGAUAAUCCCCCACACUGGUACUGAGACACGGACCAGACUCCUACGGGAGGCAGCAGUAAGGAAUAUUGCGCAAUGGAGGCAACUCUGACGCAGCCAUGCCGCGUGCAGGAAGACGGCCUUAUGGGUUGUAAACUGCUUUUAUAAAGGGAUAACUCCCCCGACGUGUCGGGGGCUGAAGGUACUUUAUGAAUAAGCACCGGCUAACUCCGUGCCAGCAGCCGCGGUAAUACGGAGGGUGCAAGCGUUAUCCGGAUUCAUUGGGUUUAAAGGGUGCGCAGGCGGAUUAUUAAGUCAGUGGUGAAAUCCCGGGGCUCAACCUCGGAACUGCCAUUGAUACUGGUAAUCUAGAAUACGGUUGAAGUGGGCGGAAUGUAGCAUGUAGCGGUGAAAUGCAUAGAGAUGCUACAGAACACCGAUCGCGAAGGCAGCUCACUAAGCCGAUAUUGACGCUCAGGCACGAAAGCGUGGGUAGCGAACAGGAUUAGAUACCCUGGUAGUCCACGCCGUAAACGAUGAUAACUCGUUGUUGGCGACACACAGUCAGCGACUAAGCGAAAGCGAUAAGUUAUCCACCUGGGGAGUACGAUCGCAAGGUUGAAACUCAAAGGAAUUGACGG